UCUAAUAUGGCAGAUAAGUGCAAUGGAUUUAAGCUCCAUACAUAGAGACCAGUCCUCUUAUUAGAA
This 66-nucleotide transfer RNA is filed under the name Epeorus psi. Its description in RNAcentral is "tRNA-Leu". The record is from RNAcentral. Lineage: Eukaryota; Metazoa; Arthropoda; Insecta; Ephemeroptera; Heptageniidae.